UUUGUUGGGCAUAUCUGGGCAGCAGAGCUGUGUUCUUGAUGAUUGUUAUUGCUUUUUCAAGGAUACCAAUUGAAGGCAGCAUAACCAAUUUUAUACGGAUGAAGAGGUUGAGCACUGUUAUAAAGAAUUUUAUGAGGAUGUGCACACAGAGUUCUUGAAGUAUGGGGAAAUAGUGAAUUUCAAGGUGUGUAAGAAUAGUUCAUUCCACUUGCGAGGGAAUGUUUAUGUGCAAUAUAAAUCGUUGGAUUCAGCUGUACUUGCUUAUCAUUCUAUCAAUGGCCGCUACUUUGCCGGAAAACAGGUGCUAAAUAUCCUAAAAAUUCGAGCAAGUACUUUUCUAGUUUUAACUUGCAAAUUUGUAGUAAGCCCUAUUUAGCUGAUUUGUUGGCAACUAUGGAUUGUUUUCUUACACAAGUUUAUGAACAUAUUUUUAUGCGUUGGAGGGUAUUGCACCAGUUCUAUCCCAUCUUCUAUAUUGGAUAUCUAGAUCUCUGCAUUUUUUUUUCCGAAAAAUCUGGGUGCGGAAUUUUCAGAUUUGACAAAAAAUGCUGAAUUCUUUGGAAAGAUGAGCUUAGGAAGAGGGAUCUUGGUUAACAUUGGGGCCAUUCCAUUUUUAGCAUCUCAAUAAUGCACUUAUUUGAUACUUGAUAUGAUUUGAUAUAUAAAUCACUUCCUUAUGCUUAUGCAUAGAGCUGUGCAAAUAACAUAAAUAAAUGACAUGAUGUUUUUAUUGGAUGGUCUACAUUGUUUUCAAAAGCAGGAGUGCAGUGCAGAAUGUGUUUGGUGCUGCUGUGCAGUUCUUUUGCGAUUUGUCCUUGCAGCCCCCAGCUUUCCCUGAAUUACUUUUUGGGAAAUCUUCAAAUCAGUUUUGAAAAGCAUCACCAAAUUUGAUCUUCAAAAUUUAGUUGUGCAGAUACACAUUUAUAGUGUUUCAAAAUUUAGCUAUAUUUGUUUCAUGUUUCUUUCAAAGUGGUCAAUUGAUUUCCUGGCUUGUACUAGUAGUAAUUUUUUUUUCCUAGGUAAUGUAUUUUUUGAUCAGGCAUGUACCACAUGAUUCUUAACAGGUACAAUGUGAAUUUGUCAAUGUGACGAGAUGGAAGGUUGCCAUAUGCGGAGAGC
RNAcentral lists this unclassified non-coding RNA (1119 nucleotides) under Hevea brasiliensis (rubber tree). The record is from RNAcentral. Lineage: Eukaryota; Viridiplantae; Streptophyta; Magnoliopsida; Malpighiales; Euphorbiaceae.